RNAcentral lists this ribosomal RNA (40 nucleotides) under Dirofilaria immitis (dog heartworm nematode). Its description in RNAcentral is "partial 18S ribosomal RNA". The record is from RNAcentral. Lineage: Eukaryota; Metazoa; Nematoda; Chromadorea; Rhabditida; Onchocercidae.
GGUGAACCUGCGGAAGGAUCAUUAUCGAGCUUCAACAAAA